This 468-nucleotide ribosomal RNA is filed under the name uncultured bacterium. Its description in RNAcentral is "partial 16S ribosomal RNA". It matches the Rfam family "Bacterial small subunit ribosomal RNA", at positions 28 to 507 of the family's 1533-position model. The record is from RNAcentral.
GACGAACGCUGGCGGCGUGCUUAACACAUGCCAGUCGAACGGAAAGGCCCUGCUUUUGUGUCUUGCUCGAUUGCGGCACGGGUGAGAAACACGUGAGUAACCUCUCCUUGACUGUGGGAUAACUUCUGGAAACUGGGGCUAAUACCCGAUAUGAGCUCCUGCUGCGUGGUGGGCGUUGGAAAGUUUCGGCGGUUGGGGAUGGACUCGCGGCUUAUCAGCUUGUUUGUCGGGUAGGUGCUUACAAAGGCUAUGACGGGUAGGCGGCCUGGGAGGGUGGCCGGCCACAAUGGGACUGAGGGACGGCGCAGAAUGCAACGUGAGGCAGCAGUGGAGAAUAUUGCACAGUGGGCCGAAGCGUGAUGCAGCAACGCCGCGUGCGGGAUGACGGCCUUCGGGGGGUAAACAGCUUUCGCAUGUGACGAAGCGUGAGUGACGGUAAUGGGUAAAGAAGCACCGGCUAACUACGUG